CCUACGGGAGGCAGCAGUGAGGAAUAUUGGUCAAUGGUCGGGAGACUGAACCAGCCAAGCCGCGUGAGGGAGGAAGGUACAGAGUAUCGUAAACCUCUUUUGUCAGGGAACAAAGGCGGGGACGUGUCCCCGGAUGAGUGUACCUGAAGAAAAAGCAUCGGCUAACUCCGUGCCAGCAGCCGCGGUAAUACGGAGGAUGCGAGCGUUAUCCGGAUUUAUUGGGGUGAAAGGGUGCGCAGGCGGUAUGUUAAGGCAGCGGUCAAAGCCCGGGGCUCAACCCCGGCCCGCCGGUUGAAACGGGCAAUCUCGAGUUGGAGAGAGGUAUGCGGAAUGCGCGGUGUAGCGGUGAAAUGCAUAGAUAUCGCGCAGAACUCCGAUUGCGAAGGCAGCAUACCGGCUCCACACUGACGCUGAGGCACGAAAGCGUGGGUAUCGAACAGGAUUAGAUACCCUAGUAGUC
RNAcentral lists this ribosomal RNA (460 nucleotides) under uncultured bacterium. Its description in RNAcentral is "partial 16S ribosomal RNA". It matches the Rfam family "Bacterial small subunit ribosomal RNA", at positions 338 to 795 of the family's 1533-position model. The record is from RNAcentral.